UACGGGGGGGGCAAGCGUUGUUCGGAAUUACUGGGCGUAAAGGGCUCGUAGGCGGCCCACUAAGUCAGACGUGAAAUCCCUCGGCUUAACCGGGGAACUGCGUCUGAUACUGGAUGGCUUGAGUUUGGGAGAGGGAUGCGGAAUUCCAGGUGUAGCGGUGAAAUGCGUAGAUAUCUGGAGGAACACCGGUGGCGAAGGCGGCGUCCUGGACCAACACUGACACUGAUGAGCGAAAGCCAGGGGAGCAAACGGG
Molecule: ribosomal RNA, 253 nt
Filed under: uncultured bacterium
Lineage: Bacteria
Description: partial 16S ribosomal RNA
Rfam family: Bacterial small subunit ribosomal RNA
Source: RNAcentral